CCCUAGUAGCGGCGAGCGAAGCGGGAAGAGCUCAAAUUUAUAAUCUGGCACCUUCGGUGUCCGAGUUGUAAUCUCUAGAAGUGUUUUCCGCGUUGGACCGCACACAAGUCUGUUGGAAUACAGCGGCAUAGUGGUGAAACCCCCGUAUAUGGUGCGGACGCCCAGCGCUUUGUGAUACACUUUCAAUGAGUCGAGUUGUUUGGGAAUGCAGCUCAAAUUGGGUGGUAAAUUCCAUCUAAAGCUAAAUAUUGGCGAGAGACCGAUAGCGAACAAGUACCGUGAGGGAAAGAUGAAAAGCACUUUGGAAAGAGAGUUAACAGUACGUGAAAUUGUUGGAAGGGAAACGCUUGAAGUCAGACUUGCUUGCCGGAGCUUGCUUCGGUUUGCAGGCCAGCAUCAGUUUUCCGGGGUGGAUAAUGACGGUUUGAAGGUAGCAGUCUCGGCUGUGUUAUAGCUUUCCGUUGGAUACAUCCUGGGGGACUGAGGAACGCAGCGUGCUUUUUGCGAAAGACUCGUCUUUCACGCUUAGGAUGCUG
RNAcentral lists this ribosomal RNA (536 nucleotides) under Rhodotorula glutinis. Its description in RNAcentral is "partial large subunit ribosomal RNA". It matches the Rfam family "Eukaryotic large subunit ribosomal RNA", at positions 78 to 628 of the family's 3401-position model. The record is from RNAcentral. Lineage: Eukaryota; Fungi; Basidiomycota; Microbotryomycetes; Sporidiobolales; Sporidiobolaceae. RNAcentral also lists the same sequence under 1 other name.